Molecule: ribosomal RNA, 274 nt
Filed under: uncultured bacterium
Lineage: Bacteria
Description: partial 16S ribosomal RNA
Rfam family: Bacterial small subunit ribosomal RNA
Source: RNAcentral
AUACGGAGGGUGCAAGCGUUAUCCGGAAUCACUGGGUUUAAAGGGUGCGUAGGCGGCUAAAUAAGUCAGAGGUGAAAUCUUUCCGCUUAACGGAAAAAUUGCCUUUGAAACUGUAUAGCUUGAAUGAAGUUGAGGUUAGCGGAAUGUGACAUGUAGCGGUGAAAUGCAUAGAUAUGUCAUAGAACACCAAAUGCGAAGGCAGCUAGCUAGGCUUGAAUUGACGCUCAGGCACGAAAGCGUGGGGAGCGAACAGGAUUAGAAACCCUAGUAGUCC